GAACGCUGGCGGCGUGCCUAAUACAUGCAAGUCGAACGGUCUUUCUAUGGAAGCUUGCUUCCACUGAGAAGAUAGUGGCGAACGGGUGAGUAACACGUGGGUAACCUGCCCAUAAGAGGGGGAGUAACAUCCGGAAACGGGUGCUAAUACCGCAUAGUUUUCUUGAUCGCAUGAUUGAGAAAGGAAAGACGGCCUUUGUGCUGUCGCUUAUGGAUGGACCCGCGGCGCAUUAGUUAGUUGGUGAGGUAACGGCUCACCAAGACGAUGAUACGUAGCCGACCUGAGAGGGUGAUCGGCCACAUUGGGACUGAGACACGGCCCAAACUCCUACGGGAGGCAGCAGUAGGGAAUCUUCCGCAAUGGACGAAAGUCUGACGGAGCAACGCCGCGUGAGUGAAGAAAGGUUUUCGGAUCGUAAAACUCUGUUGUCAGAGAAGAACAAGUUGGAGAGUAACUGCUCCAGCCUUGACGGUAUCUGACCAGAAAGCCACGGCUAACUACGUGCCAGCCGCAGC
RNAcentral lists this ribosomal RNA (515 nucleotides) under uncultured bacterium. RNAcentral's name for it is "bacterial SSU rRNA". It matches the Rfam family "Bacterial small subunit ribosomal RNA", at positions 31 to 518 of the family's 1533-position model. The record is from RNAcentral.